RNAcentral lists this unclassified non-coding RNA (329 nucleotides) under soil metagenome. RNAcentral's name for it is "partial contains 5.8S ribosomal RNA, internal transcribed spacer 2, and large subunit ribosomal RNA". The stretch from base 1 to 120 matches the Rfam family "5.8S ribosomal RNA", at positions 35 to 154 of the family's 154-position model. The record is from RNAcentral.
GAUGAAGAACGUAGUGAAAUGCGAUAAUUAAUGUGAAUUGCAGAAUUCAGUGAAUCAUCGAAUCUUUGAACGCACAUUGCGCCCCCUGGUAUUCCGGGGGGCAUGCCUGUCCGAGCGUCAUUACAACCCUCAAGCUCAGCUUGGUGUUGGGCCCCGCCGCCCCGGCGGGCCCUAAAGUCAGUGGCGGUGCCGUCCGGCUCCGAGCGUAGUAAUUCUUCUCGCUCUGGAGGUCCGGUCGUGUGCUCGCCAGCAACCCCCAAUUUUUUUCAGGUUGACCUCGGAUCAGGUAGGGAUACCCGCUGAACUUAAGCAUAUCAAUAAGCGGAGGA